ACCACAAACAGAAAGCUGAAUGUAUGGUCACAAACCGGACCAGGAAAGCGAACACAGUUUUAUGCUUAUUCUCUGAAUGGACUAGUUCUUGUAUUGCUUAGGCGUGCAAACGAACAACACUGCUUCAACCGUGUCAUGUUUGAGGGCUCCUGUGUGCACGGCCCACUUUAGACAUGCUUUGAGGCAUGUAGAAGAUUCCUGAGGUCCUCUCACCAGCAGAUUAACUAUCCCAAAGCCUAGGAUGAAGAGACUUGGAAAGGCAGCAUUUUGUUUCAAGUCCUCCAGCCUCUGGAACAACUUAGGGAUGGAACGGUGGACAUAAAACAUGCUAGUGUUUUACUUUUGGCUGACCAGCUUAAACCUAUAUUUUUAAAAUAUUAGAUGGCAAAAUGAUUCCCUACACUAUACAUUAGUUUUUCAUAGAUGUGUUUGACUGGGAGAUUAUAAUGACACUUAUAAUUAUCAUUUAAAGCCAGUCCUUCUGUUUUCCUACUGAUAGUCUUGUGCAUUUUAGGAUGUGCUUUUCUUUGGAACAGAACGUAUUUCUGGAUAAAUAUUGUGAACCAGCAUUAUUCCACUAUAAAUGCAGAUACAGUUCUGCUUGCAAGCAAGUGAACAC
Molecule: long non-coding RNA, 619 nt
Organism: Esox lucius (northern pike)
Lineage: Eukaryota; Metazoa; Chordata; Actinopteri; Esociformes; Esocidae
Exons: 3
Source: RefSeq, a predicted model, not a curated record